This 792-nucleotide ribosomal RNA is filed under the name uncultured bacterium. Its description in RNAcentral is "bacterial SSU rRNA". It matches the Rfam family "Bacterial small subunit ribosomal RNA", at positions 8 to 782 of the family's 1533-position model. The record is from RNAcentral.
AGAGUUUGAUCCUGGCUCAGGAUGAACGCUGGCGGCGUGCCUAAUACAUGCAAGUCGAGCGAACAGACGAGGAGCUUGCUCCUCUGACGUUAGCGGCGGACGGGUGAGUAACACGUGGAUAACCUACCUAUAAGACUGGGAUAACUUCGGGAAACCGGAGCUAAUACCGGAUAAUAUAUUGAACCGCAUGGUUCAAUAGUGAAAGACGGUUUUGCUGUCACUUAUAGAUGGAUCCGCGCCGCAUUAGCUAGUUGGUAAGGUAACGGCUUACCAAGGCAACGAUGCGUAGCCGACCUGAGAGGGUGAUCGGCCACACUGGAACUGAGACACGGUUCAGACUCCUACGGGAGGCAGCAGUAGGGAAUCUUCCGCAAUGGGCGAAAGCCUGACGGAGCAACGCCGCGUGAGUGAUGAAGGUCUUCGGAUCGUAAAACUCUGUUAUUAGGGAAGAACAAAUGUGUAAGUAACUAUGCACGUCUUGACGGUACCUAAUCAGAAAGCCACGGCUAACUACGUGCCAGCAGCCGCGGUAAUACGUAGGUGGCAAGCGUUAUCCGGAAUUAUUGGGCGUAAAGCGCGCGUAGGCGGUUUUUUAAGUCUGAUGUGAAAGCCCACGGCUCAACCGUGGAGGGUCAUUGGAAACUGGAAAACUUGAGUGCAGAAGAGGAAAGUGGAAUUCCAUGUGUAGCGGUGAAAUGCGCAGAGAUAUGGAGGAACACCAGUGGCGAAGGCGACUUUCUGGUCUGUAACUGACGCUGAUGUGCGAAAGCGUGGGGAUCAAACAGGAUUAGA